CCAUGUAUUAUAUUUUGGGAUUUUGGGCCCCAUUUUUAAAUUGGUCCACAUUGAGGUCCAAAGGGUACAAAAUUAAACUUUGUUUGAUUUUAAUAAAAAAUGAAUAAUUGGGGUUAUUUGAAUUGCCCAAUCUAACUCUGUAUUUAGAUUUUUAAUUUUUGGUACCGUUUUCAAAUUGGUCUACAUUAUGGUCCAUAGGGUCCAAUAUUAAACUUAGUUUGAUUUCC
This 227-nucleotide long non-coding RNA is filed under the name Mytilus galloprovincialis (Mediterranean mussel). Lineage: Eukaryota; Metazoa; Mollusca; Bivalvia; Mytilida; Mytilidae. The record is from RNAcentral.